AUGAAGAACAAGUACAUGCACGCGGUGAAUUCAACUAUAGAAAUGAAUGCUGCCGCAACCGACAAACAACCAAGCGCAGCUCAAAGCCCACUAAAUUGUGGCACAAAGAAGAAGAAGGUUUUAUCAGCGGCAUCUCGUGAGUCAAAAAUCAAAUAUGAUAAAAGACGGUCAGGGACCAGAUUAAGUGUCGGAUAUGCGUUGGAGGAAUGGAGGUUGCUUCAACUAGAUCUGGGACUGAAAAAAGAUGCGGACAUGGCUCAUUUCCUAGUGGCCAGCUACCGGAAGAAGCAACCUCCUGAAACUGGAACUCGGGGAUGUAAUCUGAAGAGAACCUCAACACCCCGCAAGCGAACAGCAGCUAAAAUUUCUCAUCGGUUAUCUCCAAUUAAACCAGUAUCUGAGUGUCAACCUUCGAGUUGUAUUGUGCAUGGCUGUGGCAAAAAGUCAGAGCCUUAUGUGAGAACCCUGCAUCAGUUUCCAGAAGAUUUGGAGACCGUAAAAGUGUGGAAAGAGUUUGUGCAGAAGACCACCACAGAAUGGGAUGGUCAGGUCUCUCCGUGGAAGAAGAUCUGUAGUGAGCAUUUUGAGCCAAGCUGUUAUGCAAAUCACACAGCCUGGUUGAUGCGUUCCGUUCAGAAGUUGGAACUGAGAGAUGAGUUUCAAGUCCCAACAAUAUAUCCUACUGAGGAAACAUCUUCACAUGAUGCGGGAAGUUUGGAUCAACCACAGCAAGCUGCAGUUGGGGGGAUAGAGCCUACUCGGAUUCCAGAGUCUCCCAGUCAAAACACGAAAGUUGUAGAGGGAAAUGCGCAACAACCGACGACGCUUCAGCUGCCACCAGAGCUCCACCAAACACCCCUGUCUGUUCCAUCUUUCUGCGUAACCCCUUUGGUUCUAUAUACAGCACCAGCAACACCGUACCAAGUGCAGCCUGGCCUCACAGGAAGUGUGAAUGUUGUUGGAGAAAAGUCAUGGAAAAGCAAAGGCUGUCAAACAGAAAGUGUUACAUUUGCUGAUGGAAAUUGCCACAUCAUAAAACCACGUCUGCCAAAAGCCGAAACAGCAGAGGACACAUACUCCAGAGACAGUGAUGUUUGUGAUGAAGACGAAGAUGUCAGCAGGUACCACAAUAAAGAUGUGGAGGAUAAGCUAUUGUUGUAG
RNAcentral lists this long non-coding RNA (1161 nucleotides) under Nothobranchius furzeri (turquoise killifish). Its description in RNAcentral is "lncRNA (ENSNFUG00015009887.1)". Lineage: Eukaryota; Metazoa; Chordata; Actinopteri; Cyprinodontiformes; Nothobranchiidae. The record is from RNAcentral.